Molecule: long non-coding RNA, 802 nt
Filed under: Homo sapiens (human)
Lineage: Eukaryota; Metazoa; Chordata; Mammalia; Primates; Hominidae
Description: long intergenic non-protein coding RNA 2609
Source: RNAcentral
UACAGGCUUCUAAUGUGAGGAAAAACACGGAAUGACAAGUGUGGGAAAGAGCAAGCACUAAAUUACUGUCAGAAAAAUAAACGGAGUAGCACAGUGCUGCUCGGUGAUUUACGGGGGCAAUUAGUCACCACCCCACGGCGCUGCUGAGGACAGCACGGCAGCAGACAAGUCAGGCCCAUGAGGAAGAAGAGGCUUUGCACUGCUCUCCAGACAACUUUUCAAACAACAAGAGAGGAUAUUUGAGCACAUUAGGUUUUGUGUCUUCAUUCUGGCCGUGUGAAGAUGUGCCUGCUUCGCCUUCCAUCAUGACUGAAGUUUCCUGAGGCCUCCCCAGCUAUGCUCCCUAUACAGCCUGCAGAACGGUCGGCUGCCUCCAAUCCUGAGGUCAUCACUCAUCAAGAGGGGAUAAUCCCAGGGACAGCAGGAUCUGCUUCGUUACUUGGAUUUAGGAGCCAGAAACCCAUCAGGCAACUAAACAGUAACAAUGACCCGCCAUUAAACACACUGAGAGAAGAGCAUGAUGAAGAGUUUGUACAAGAAGAAGCCAGGAGCACUUGCUGACAAUGCUUACAGAGACGCAGGCUUCUAUGAGCUCUGCCUGUUGAACUGCAGUAAAAAUAGAUCUCCUUCCCCAGAGAGGCUUGGAUGUGGGCACAAUAUCAGUUCAGACGAUGGUCAAUGCAUGUACUUAAUAGAGUGAAAAGACUUUGGACUGUGAAGUCAGAUUACCUGGGUCUGAAUUGUUAUUCUUCUACUUCUUUGUAGUAUGCUUUCACCACAUUAAAAAUUGUCUGAGCCUCAA